RNAcentral lists this ribosomal RNA (484 nucleotides) under uncultured bacterium. RNAcentral's name for it is "partial 16S ribosomal RNA". It matches the Rfam family "Bacterial small subunit ribosomal RNA", at positions 28 to 523 of the family's 1533-position model. The record is from RNAcentral.
GAUGAACGCUGGCGGCGUGCUUAACACAUGCAAGUCGAACGAGAACGGGUUAUAGCUUGCUAUAAUUGUCAGGUAAGUGGCGCACGGGUGAGUAAUGUAUAGGUAAUAUGCCUUUUACUAAGGAAUAACAAAUGGAAACGUUUGCUAAUACCUUAUACUCCUUAUUAACCUAAGUUAAUAAGGGAAAGAUUUAUUGGUAAGAGAUUAGCCUGUAUUGUAUCAGUUAGUUGGUGGGGUAAUGGCUUACCAAGACUAUGACACAUAACUGGUUUGAGAGGAUGAUCAGUCACACUGGAACUGAGACACGGUCCAGACUCCUACGGGAGGCAGCAGUGGGGAAUAUUGCACAAUGGACGGAAGUCUGAUGCAGCAACGCCGCGUGGAGGAUGACACAUUUCGGUGCGUAAACUCCUUUUAUAUGAGAAGAUAAUGACGGUAUUAUAUGAAUAAGCACCGGCUAACUCCGUGCCAGCCGCCGCUGUAA